RNAcentral lists this ribosomal RNA (253 nucleotides) under uncultured bacterium. Its description in RNAcentral is "partial 16S ribosomal RNA". It matches the Rfam family "Bacterial small subunit ribosomal RNA", at positions 524 to 776 of the family's 1533-position model. The record is from RNAcentral.
UACGGAGGGUGCAAGCGUUGCUCGGAAUCACUGGGCGUAAAGGGCGCGUAGGCGGGAUGGCAAGUCAGUCGUGAAAUCUCUCGGCUCAACCGAGAAACGUCGGCUGAUACUGCCGUUCUUGAGGGAUGCAGAGGAGACUGGAAUUCCCGGUGUAGCGGUGAAAUGUGUAGAGAUCGGGAGGAACACCGGUGGCGAAGGCGGGUCUCUGGGCAUUUCCUGACGCUGAGGCGCGAAAGCUAGGGGAGCAAACAGG